AUGGCUAAUACAUGCGCAAAUGCCUCCUUCUCUGGAGGGGCUGUGUUUAUUAGAUACAAAACCAACCCACUUCUGUGGAGUCCUGGUGAUUCAUAGUAACCGAACGGAUCGCAUUUGGCUUCGGCCCGCGAUAGAUCUUUCAAGUUUCUGACCUAUCAGCUUUCGACGGUAGGGUAUUGGCCUACCGUGGCAGUGACGGGUAACGGGGAAUUAGGGUUCGAUUCCGGAGAGGGAGCCUGAGAAACGGCUACCACAUCUAAGGAAGGCAGCAGGCGCGCAAAUUACCCAAUGAAAACAGUUUCGAGGUAGUGACGAGAAAUAACAAUACAGGGCAUUUUAUGCUCUGUAAUUGGAAUGAUGGGAAUGUAAAACCCUUCCAGAGUAACAAUUGGAGGGCAAGUCUGGUGCCAGCAGCCGCGGUAAUUCCAGCUCCAAUAGUGUAUAUUAGAGUUGUUGCAGUUAAAAAGCUCGUAGUUGGAUUUCUGCUGUGGUCAUCCGGUACCGCCCGUAUGGGUGCGCACCUGGUUUGGCUCCGGCUUUCUUCCUGUAGCCGUCCGCGCUUAAUUGCGUGUACUGUGUUACGGAACUU
RNAcentral lists this ribosomal RNA (589 nucleotides) under Eimeria bovis. RNAcentral's name for it is "SSU rRNA". It matches the Rfam family "Eukaryotic small subunit ribosomal RNA", at positions 160 to 751 of the family's 1831-position model. Lineage: Eukaryota; Apicomplexa; Conoidasida; Eucoccidiorida; Eimeriidae. The record is from RNAcentral.